Molecule: ribosomal RNA, 253 nt
Filed under: uncultured bacterium
Lineage: Bacteria
Description: partial 16S ribosomal RNA
Rfam family: Bacterial small subunit ribosomal RNA
Source: RNAcentral
UACGUAGGGUGCAAGCGUUAAUCGGAAUUACUGGGCGUAAAGCGUGCGCAGGCGGUUAUGUAAGACCGAUGUGAAAUCCCCGGGCUCAACCUGGGAACUGCAUUUGUGACUGCACAGCUGGAGUGCGGCAGAGGGGGGUGGAAUUCCACGUGUAGCAGUGAAAUGCGUAGAUAUGUGGAGGAACACCGAUGGCGAAGGCAGCCCCCUGGGAUGUGACUGACGCUCAUGUACGAAAGCGUGGGGAGCAAACAGG